GAUGAACGCUGGCGGCGUGCCUAAUACAUGCAAGUCGAGCGAACGGACGCGAAGCUUGCUUCUCUGAUGUUAGCGGCGGACGGGUGAGUAACACGUGGAUAACCUACCUAUAAGACGGGGAUAACUUCGGGAAACCGUAGCUAAUACCGGAUAAUAUUUUGAACCGCAUGGUUCAAAAGUGAAAGACGGUCUUGCUGUCACUUAUAGAUGGAUCCGAGCUGCAUUAGCUAGUUGGUAAGGUAACGGCUUACCAAGGCAACGAUGCAUAGCCGACCUGAGAGGGGGAUAGGCGACAUUGGAACUGAGACACGGUCCAGAGUCCUACGGGAGGCAGCAGUAGGGUAUCUGCCGCAGUGGGCGAAAGCCUGACGGAGCAACGCGGCGUGAGUGAUGAAGGUCUUUGGAUCGUAAAACUCUGUUAUUAGUGAAGAACAGAUGUGGAAGUAACUGUGCACAGCUUGACGGUACCUAAUCAGAAAGCCACGGCUAACUACGUG
This 497-nucleotide ribosomal RNA is filed under the name uncultured bacterium. RNAcentral's name for it is "partial 16S ribosomal RNA". It matches the Rfam family "Bacterial small subunit ribosomal RNA", at positions 28 to 507 of the family's 1533-position model. The record is from RNAcentral.